Molecule: long non-coding RNA, 1833 nt
Organism: Nicotiana attenuata
Lineage: Eukaryota; Viridiplantae; Streptophyta; Magnoliopsida; Solanales; Solanaceae
Exons: 2
Source: RefSeq, a predicted model, not a curated record
UUUUUUUUGCCGCCGAUUAUUUGGAAGGAUUGAGUCCAAAUAAUCGAUUUAGUUUGACCUGAUUGAUCUAUAGUCGAAAUGGACUUUGUUAUGGGCUUUUCAAGCGAGGCCCAAUUGAUUAGGGCAACAAUAUAAAAAGCGGCGAUAACAGCAAAAAUAGCAAAAUCUCAUUAGUUUAAGUAUGAGGCUGCGGUGAAAGCAGAGAGCUGUGGGGAGUUUCUAUGGGUGGUUUUGACCCUCUUUGUCUUUCUUCGCCGCCGAUGAUCAGUCAAAUGCAAAAAAAAAGUUCCGAUUGCAAAACUGCCCUUUCGGUGAAAAUACAUAUUACUCCCUCCGUUCACUUUUACUUUUUGUGCAAUGAGGCUAUGAAGAUUAUUUUGUUCUUCUGCGGAAGAUGAUACAGACAUAUAUUUCUAUUGAGCUGGAAAAAAACUGUAACUUGGCGUGGCAGCUCCGAUGGGUCUGUGAGAUAUUGGAGAAAAUUCCAUUUUAGGGUGUUUUUUUUCCGUCUCAUAAGGCUAACUGAUGCUUGCAGCCAUGUCGGUUUUUUCAAAGCUUUUUGGUUUUUGUCUGAGAAAAGGCGAAUCUGAGCCUACACCAUUACUUUGAUUUUUGAUUUUGGUUUUUCCUCUAGUCCUUGAUUGCAUAGGCGAAAAUCUAAGCUCAUUCCUCAAUUUAACUUUUUGUUCUACUUCCGAGACUGUAACUCAGAGAAGCUUUGUGGGAAUAAUUAUUACCUUGAAGAUUUCGAUUUCAGUGUUAAACUGAUUUGAUUUUUCCAAAAUGUUAGUCGAAAAAUUUCUCCAAAAUUUGUAUCUGAAUUUUAGUAAUUGAAUGAGAAGCAACGAUGAUGGUCAAAGAUCAAAUAAGAAUGCAAAACUACCACAGAUCUUCUAUGUGUUAUUGUGUUGUGAAUUAAUCUCUUGAUUAGUUCUCUUUGGUAACUAACCUUAACAACACUAUUUUCGAUUGGAACAAUCUGAGUCAUGAGUGUUAUCCUAUGUGGCAUUGCUAAGAAGAAGUCUUGAUGGUUACAAAUAAUGUUAAGAUCCCUUGCUGCAAGGUACUCUUGCAUUUUUGCAGACAAGAACAUGCAGGUGAUGGGUUUUUGUUCCCAUUAACAUGAAGUGCUAGUUUGAAGCAUGGGGCUAGAUUAUGAUGUGUAAGAAAUAUUGUAAAGAAACUACACUUAUUUUGAUGAAAACUCCAGGAACUGUGUUUGUCUUUACAUUCCAAAUUUCCGUGAAAUCAUUGUAGAUUCUGGCUACAACAGGAACAAAAUGGAGAGAAAGAGAGAGAUAGAGAGAGAGAGGAGGAGGAUUGGAAAUCAAUAAUGUUUGAUUGGGAUGAUCUAAUGUUCUUGAAAGAGCUAUUUUGCUUGGUCAAGGAGAAUUACCAAAGAGCUAUGAAUCUUGUUGAUAUGUGUCAAUAGCAGCUGCACCAUAUCUUAGAUAUUUCUGAUAAGCAGGAUAAGUUGAUCCAGAUAUUCUCCAUUAACAACAACAACAUUCUCAGUGCGAUCGCAGCCCUUUAAGUAAUAAUCAAAGCUGCCAAUUGAAGGUGCUAUCUCCGCACUUCAUAUUGUCAGAAUACAAGCCAAAAGCUAAGAAAGGCGAUGCAUUUACAAGGGAGUAAGCUCAUUUUAUAAAUUAUGUAAAUUUUGCAGUUGUUGCUUGCUUUAUGAAUACCCACUAAUCUUUGAGAUCGAUUCCAUGCUAAUUUGUUUUUUGAGAGUCCUUGUUUCUAUUGGUCUUUUGCCGCAUUUUGUGAUUGACGUAAACAAGAUGUCAUACUUCUUGCUCCUCUCAUUCAAUUAAUUGUGUAUUCUGUGCA